Small nucleolar RNA from Hibiscus syriacus, 118 nucleotides. RefSeq annotates it as small nucleolar RNA Z152/R70/R12. The record is from RefSeq and is a predicted model, not a curated record. Lineage: Eukaryota; Viridiplantae; Streptophyta; Magnoliopsida; Malvales; Malvaceae. The transcript has a single exon.
UUUGCUAUGAUGAGAUAAGAACACUCAAGUGUUGAUGGGCAGUGGGAUUGGAUCUUUCUUUUUGGAAGAUCUGCCGUGAGCCCUCUCUUUUUAACGACUUCUCCUUCCACUGAGCUCU